This 416-nucleotide RNase P RNA is filed under the name Algoriphagus hitonicola. RNAcentral describes it as "RNase P RNA component class A". It matches the Rfam family "Bacterial RNase P class A". From Rfam's summary of the family: Ribonuclease P (RNase P) is a ubiquitous endoribonuclease, found in archaea, bacteria and eukarya as well as chloroplasts and mitochondria. Its best characterised activity is the generation of mature 5'-ends of tRNAs by cleaving the 5'-leader elements of precursor-tRNAs. Lineage: Bacteria; Pseudomonadati; Bacteroidota; Cytophagia; Cytophagales; Cyclobacteriaceae. The record is from RNAcentral.
CGUGCAAGUCGUCUUGUCGCCGCGACACCGAUAUCGGGGUUGGGGAGGAAAGUCCGGGCAACACAGAGCGCCAUACUUCCUAACGGGAAGGAGGCUGACUGGUGACGGUCAGUUUACAGAAAGUGCCACAGAAAAUAUACCGUCCCGAUAGCUAUCGGGAUAAGGGUGAAAAGGUGGAGUAAGAGCCCACCGGUCAGAUGGUGACAUCCGACGCAUGGCAAACCUUAUGGGUUGAAAGGUCAAAUAGGCCCCGGGCAAAGAGCUGCUCGUUCGAUUUUGUCCCUUUUCCGAUUCGUCGGCAUUGGGUCAGAUUCCGGGGUGGGUAGACCGAUAGAUCCCGAUCGUGAGGUCGGGACUAGAUAAAUGACAGGAUUCCGUAAAGGAAACAGAACCCGGCUUACAGACUUGCACUUUUU